Schistosoma rodhaini is the source of this 45-nucleotide non-coding RNA. Lineage: Eukaryota; Metazoa; Platyhelminthes; Trematoda; Strigeidida; Schistosomatidae. The record is from Rfam.
ACUUUGCUGACGAGUGCCAUAUAGUACGAAACCCGGGUUCAGGGU